GCAAGUCGAGCGGUAGAGAGGUGCUUGCACCUCUUGAGAGCGGCGGACGGGUGAGUAAUGCCUAGGAAUCUGCCUGGUAGUGGGGGAUAACGUCCGGAAACGGACGCUAAUACCGCAUACGUCCUACGGGAGAAAGCAGGGGACCUUCGGGCCUUGCGCUAUCAGAUGAGCCUAGGUCGGAUUAGCUAGUUGGUGAGGUAAUGGCUCACCAAGGCGACGAUCCGUAACUGGUCUGAGAGGAUGAUCAGUCACACUGGAACUGAGACACGGUCCAGACUCCUACGGGAGGCAGCAGUGGGGAAUAUUGGACAAUGGGCGAAAGCCUGAUCCAGCCAUGCCGCGUGUGUGAAGAAGGUCUUCGGAUUGUAAAGCACUUUAAGUUGGGAGGAAGGGUACUUACCUAAUACGUGAGUAUUUUGACGUUACCGACAGAAUAAGCACCGGCUAACUCUGUGCCAGCAGCCGCGGUAAUACAGAGGGUGCAAGCGUUAAUCGGAAUUACUGGGCGUAAAGCGCGCGUAGGUGGUUCGUUAAGUUGGAUGUGAAAUCCCCGGGCUCAACCUGGGAACUGCAUCCAAAACUGGCGAGCUAGAGUAUGGUAGAGGGUGGUGGAAUUUCCUGUGUAGCGGUGAAAUGCGUAGAUAUAGGAAGGAACACCAGUGGCGAAGGCGACCACCUGGACUGAUACUGACACUGAGGUGCGAAAGCGUGGUGAGCAAACAGGAUUAUAUACCCUGGUAGUCCACGCCGUACACGAUGUCAACUAUCCGUUGGGAGCCUUGAGCUCUUAGUGGCGCAUCUAACGCAUUAAGUUGACCGCCUGCGGAGUACGGCCGCAGGUUAACACUCAAAUGAAGUGACGGGGGCCCGCACAAGCGCUGGAGCAUGUGGUUUAUUUCUAAGCAACCCCCAGAACCUUACUAGCCGUGAGAUUCAAUGAAAUUUCUUACAUGGAUUGG
Molecule: ribosomal RNA, 959 nt
Filed under: Pseudomonas chlororaphis
Lineage: Bacteria; Pseudomonadati; Pseudomonadota; Gammaproteobacteria; Pseudomonadales; Pseudomonadaceae
Description: bacterial SSU rRNA
Rfam family: Bacterial small subunit ribosomal RNA
Source: RNAcentral